Molecule: long non-coding RNA, 330 nt
Organism: Gordionus sp. m RMFG-2023
Lineage: Eukaryota; Metazoa; Nematomorpha; Gordioida; Chordodea; Parachordodidae
Exons: 3
Source: RefSeq, a predicted model, not a curated record
AUUAGGGUAGGAUUUCUUAAAAAUGCUUUUUGUUUCCUGAAAGUGUUAAAAAGUUACUUAAAAUGUCUUGUAGUGAGGAUGACAAUAUGCAUAAAAAUAGAUGAUGCUGAUAACUCUUCAUAAAUGAAUGAAAAUAAAAUUUUUCAUCCAAGGGAAAGUGUAUGGAAAUUGUAUUUUAUUGGUAAAAGGCAUCAAGAAUCAUGAAGCAAGGUUGGAAUGUGUUAUAUUUUUAUGCAAACCCAAAAAAUAUUUAACUUAAAUGUUAUGAACAAAUGGGGAUGUUUGGUUCUAACAUAUUUCAUUUUAUGUGGAUUGAUAUCAUAUUUUUUC